UCAAUAAGCGGAGGAAAAGAAACUAACAAGGAUUCCCCUAGUAACGGCGAGUGAAGAGGGAAGAGCCCAAGAUUGAAAGCUGGCGUCUUCGGCGUCCGCAUUGUAAUCUCAAGAAGUGUUUUCCGCUUCGGACCAUGCCUAAGUCCCUUGGAAAAGGGCAUCAUAGAGGGUGAUAAUCCCGUACAUGGCAUGGAGCGCCCGAGGCUUUGUGAUACGCUUUCUAAGAGUCGAGUUGUUUGGGAAUGCAGCUCAAAAUGGGUGGUAAAUGCCAUCUAAGGCUAAAUAUUGGGGAGAGACCGAUAGCGAACAAGUACAGUGAUGGAAAGAUGAAAAGAACUUUGAAAAGAGAGUUAAACAGUACGUGAAAUUGCCAAAAGGGAAGGGUAGGAGGUCAGAGAUGCGUCUUGGGAUUCAGCCUUGCUUUUGCUUGGUGUUUUUCCCAAGUUGCAGGCCAACGUCGGUUUUGGGCACUGGAGAAGGGUGGAAGGAACGUGGCACCUCUCGGGGUGUGUUAUAGCCUUCUACUGGAUACAGCGACCGGGACCGAGGACAGCAGCGUACUCGCAAGAGCGGGCCUUCGGGCACCUUUACGCUUAGGACGUUGGCAUAAUGGCCCUCUACCACCCGUCUUGAAACACGGACC
This 643-nucleotide ribosomal RNA is filed under the name Anthracocystis sp. ML-2015. Its description in RNAcentral is "LSU rRNA". It matches the Rfam family "Eukaryotic large subunit ribosomal RNA", at positions 43 to 667 of the family's 3401-position model. Lineage: Eukaryota; Fungi; Basidiomycota; Ustilaginomycetes; Ustilaginales; Ustilaginaceae. The record is from RNAcentral.